This 240-nucleotide unclassified non-coding RNA is filed under the name Hevea brasiliensis (rubber tree). Lineage: Eukaryota; Viridiplantae; Streptophyta; Magnoliopsida; Malpighiales; Euphorbiaceae. The record is from RNAcentral.
UUAUGAUCGAUUUGGAGAAAUUCGCAAAUCGAAGGAUGAUAAAUGUCAAUUCCAGUGUUCUCCCAGGACAUUGCGAUAAUCACAAAUACCUGCAAAGAUGUUGGUGGAAGAAGUAUUCAUUAUUUCUAUUAUCAUUCUUAGUCUCGUUCCUGAUAUCUUCUAUGGUUGCUACAGUUGAACUGGCUAAGCUGUACUGCAUUGUAAUGGUAAGCAAGAUCAGAGGAUGUGCAGAGAAAAAAA